This 524-nucleotide ribosomal RNA is filed under the name uncultured bacterium. Its description in RNAcentral is "bacterial SSU rRNA". It matches the Rfam family "Bacterial small subunit ribosomal RNA", at positions 355 to 896 of the family's 1533-position model. The record is from RNAcentral.
UGGGGAAUAUUGGACAAUGGACCAAGAGUCUGAUCCAGCAAUUCUGUGUGCACGAUGAAGUUUUUCGGAAUGUAAAGUGCUUUCAGUUGGGAAGAAAAAAAUGACGGUACCAACAGAAGAAGUGACGGCUAAAUACGUGCCAGCAGCCGCGGUAAUACGUAUGUCACGAGCGUUAUCCGGAUUUAUUGGGCAUAAAGCGCGUCUAGGUGGUUAUAUAAGUCUGAUGUGAAAAUGCAGAGCUCAACUCUGUAUUGCGUUGGAAACUGUAUAACUAGAGUACUGGAGAGGUAAGCGGAACUACAAGUGUAGAGGUGAAAUUCGUAGAUAUUUGUAGGAAUGCCGAUGGGGAAGCCAGCUUACUGGACAGAUACUGACGCUGAAGCGCGAAAGCGUGGGUAGCAAACAGGAUUAGAUACCCUGGUAGUCCACGCCGUAAACGAUGAUUACUAGGUGUUGGGGGUCAAACCUCAGCGCCCAAGCAAAUGCGAUAAGUAAUCCGCCUGGGGAGUACGUACGCAAGUAUG